RNAcentral lists this ribosomal RNA (119 nucleotides) under Triticum aestivum (bread wheat). The record is from RNAcentral. Lineage: Eukaryota; Viridiplantae; Streptophyta; Magnoliopsida; Poales; Poaceae.
GGAUGUGAUCAUACCAGCACUAAAGCACCGGAUCCCAUCAGAACUCCGAAGUUAAGCGUGCUUGGGCGAGAGUAGUACUAGGAUGGGUGACCUCCUGGGAAGUCCUCGUGUUCCAUUCC